RNAcentral lists this long non-coding RNA (306 nucleotides) under Cavia porcellus (domestic guinea pig). Its description in RNAcentral is "lncRNA (ENSCPOG00000034463.1)". Lineage: Eukaryota; Metazoa; Chordata; Mammalia; Rodentia; Caviidae. The record is from RNAcentral.
UCCCAUCCAGCGUAAGUACACAAAGGCCCUCUUUUGUGUCGCCCAGGUAAACAGUUUCAUGACGGUGAAGAUUUCGGGGCGCUUUGCCAUUACCUUGGUCUACAGAUGCCAUCCCCAAAGCCUGAAGCUGGCGUUAGCACCCAAAAAACAUGAGCCUGGGUCUGCAGGUCUGCCUGGUGUGCCACUCCCUGCCAUCAACCCAGCUGUCACAGCUGCCCCUGGAACCAGGGACUCCACUGGAGACUGCAAGAUGAGCUGGCGACUGGCCUUCACCGCCCAGAACAGAGAUGUAAGCUCCUUGUGUAA